Molecule: long non-coding RNA, 465 nt
Filed under: Elaeis guineensis (African oil palm)
Lineage: Eukaryota; Viridiplantae; Streptophyta; Magnoliopsida; Arecales; Arecaceae
Description: long non-coding RNA (EGUI_LNC026547)
Source: RNAcentral
GAGGAGGAGGUAUUGAAGCUUAUCUUCGACCGCACCACUCCCCCACCUCUAAGUUCCUUUUCAAGAAGACAUUAUGUAAGGUCGUGUUAAGCCCAGCCAAUCUUGCAAGUAAGUUAAUUGCUUUUGAAGUUCUUCACCUCACAUUCCUUUUAGCUAACCUCAGCCCUUCUCUAGAUAUGAGGCCUUAGGAUGUUGAAGCCCUGCACCAAGCCACAAAGAGGAAGAAGACUGCUGCAGCCCCUAUCCCGAAAUGAAACGGACUGAGGCUGUCCUUAUUCAACCCGCGGUUGGCAAUUCUUCGAAGCCAACUCAAGCACCCCCGAGGAAGAAAGCUUUGUCAGGGGCCCAACUCGUGCAACCCCUAAGAUCUGUUGCUCCGGGGGAGUCAAUCCCCCUAUCUUCUGCUUCUUUGUUGCACCAAGGUUCAGGUACUCCCCAAAUCUCAAUACGGAUGUCUUUCCGCCC